Molecule: non-coding RNA, 25 nt
Filed under: Cricetulus griseus (Chinese hamster)
Lineage: Eukaryota; Metazoa; Chordata; Mammalia; Rodentia; Cricetidae
Source: RNAcentral
GCUUUUGGGGAUCAUGGUGUAGAUU